Molecule: ribosomal RNA, 480 nt
Filed under: uncultured bacterium
Lineage: Bacteria
Description: bacterial SSU rRNA
Rfam family: Bacterial small subunit ribosomal RNA
Source: RNAcentral
AUUGAACGCUGGCGGCAUGCCUUACACAUGCAAGUCGAACGGCAGCACGGGAGCAAUCCUGGUGGCGAGUGGCGAACGGGUGAGUAAUAUAUCGGAACGUGCCCAGUCGUGGGGAUAACGUAGCGAAAGCUACGCUAAUACCGCAUACGAUCUAUGGAUGAAAGCGGGGGAUCGCAAGACCUCGCGCGAUUGGAGCGGCCGAUAUCAGAUUAGGUAGUUGGUGAGGUAAAGGCUCACCAAGCCGACGAUCUGUAGCUGGUCUGAGAGGACGACCAGCCACACUGGGACUGAGACACGGCCCAGACUCCUACGGAGGCAGCAGUGGGGAAUUUUGGACAAUGGGCGCAAGCCUGAUCCAGCAAUGCCGCGUGCAGGAUGAAGGCCCUCGGGUUGUAAACUGCUUUUGUACGGAACGAAACGGUGAGCUCUAAUACAGUUUGCUAAUGACGGUACCGUAAGAAUAAGCACCGGCUAACUACG